RNAcentral lists this unclassified non-coding RNA (112 nucleotides) under Pseudomonas sp. BS3759. Lineage: Bacteria; Pseudomonadati; Pseudomonadota; Gammaproteobacteria; Pseudomonadales; Pseudomonadaceae. The record is from RNAcentral. RNAcentral also lists the same sequence under 1 other name.
AUCAGUAGGUCCCGGGUUCGACUCCUGGUGCCGGCACCAUACAAGGUUUUAAAGGUGGUUUUUGCAGCCUUUGAAAUCUCCGAAAAACCCGCCUUUUGGCGGGUUUUUUCGU